UACGUAGGGUGCGAGCGUUGUCCGGAAUUAUUGGGCGUAAAGAGCUCGUAGGCGGUGUGUCGCGUCGGCCGUGAAAACCUGGGGCUCAACUCUGGGCGUGCGGUCGAUACGGGCAUCACUUGAGUUCGGCAGGGGAGACUGGAAUUCCUGGUGUAGCGGUGAAAUGCGCAGAUAUCAGGAGGAAUACCGAUGGCGAAGGCAGGUCUCUGGGCUGACACUGACGCUCAUGCACGAAAGCGUGGGGAGCAAACAGG
RNAcentral lists this ribosomal RNA (254 nucleotides) under uncultured bacterium. RNAcentral describes it as "partial 16S ribosomal RNA". It matches the Rfam family "Bacterial small subunit ribosomal RNA", at positions 524 to 776 of the family's 1533-position model. The record is from RNAcentral.